Molecule: ribosomal RNA, 476 nt
Filed under: uncultured bacterium
Lineage: Bacteria
Description: partial 16S ribosomal RNA
Rfam family: Bacterial small subunit ribosomal RNA
Source: RNAcentral
UGGGGAAUUUUGGACAAUGGGCGAAAGCCUGAUCCAGCAAUGCCGCGUGUGUGAAGAAGGCCUUCGGGUUGUAAAGCACUUUUGUCCGGAAAGAAAUCCUUGGCUCUAAUACAGUCGGGGGAUGACGGUACCGGAAGAAUAAGCACCGGCUAACUACGUGCCAGCAGCCGCGGUAAUACGUAGGGUGCAAGCGUUAAUCGGAAUUACUGGGCGUAAAGCGUGCGCAGGCGGUUUGCUAAGACCGAUGUGAAAUCCCCGGGCUCAACCUGGGAACUGCAUUGGUGACUGGCAGGCUAGAGUAUGGCAGAGGGGGGUAGAAUUCCACGUGUAGCAGUGAAAUGCGUAGAGAUGUGGAGGAAUACCGAUGGCGAAGGCAGCCCCCUGGGCCAAUACUGACGCUCAUGCACGAAAGCGUGGGGAGCAAACAGGAUUAGAUACCCUGGUAGUCCACGCCCUAAACGAUGUCAACUAGUUGU